RNAcentral lists this long non-coding RNA (241 nucleotides) under Helianthus annuus (common sunflower). RNAcentral describes it as "sRNA HanXRQr2_Chr14g0641981". The record is from RNAcentral. Lineage: Eukaryota; Viridiplantae; Streptophyta; Magnoliopsida; Asterales; Asteraceae.
UAAGAACCGGAAACCGGCCCUUUGUACACACUUCGGGUGUCUGGUGUAAUGGGUCUGGGUGACCCAGGUAAUGGAGGAAGACCGAUAACCGAAUUAUAUAUUAUUUUAUGCGGUUCCAGACAUCAAAGCGGUUCCAGUGGAUUUUGAAUUGGACACUUCACCACAUUUGUGUGUUGCUUCAUCGGAUUUUGCAGAGAGGAAUUGUGGACGGUUGUCGAUGAAGGGUAUCAAGAACUGGGAC